This is a long non-coding RNA of Mytilus californianus (California mussel), 2144 nucleotides long. RefSeq lists it as uncharacterized. The record is from RefSeq and is a predicted model, not a curated record. The transcript has 2 exons. Lineage: Eukaryota; Metazoa; Mollusca; Bivalvia; Mytilida; Mytilidae.
ACUAUCAUAUUACCUUGAGUGACACCUCUCAAGGAGUAAGGAUUAUUAUCUGAUUUCAGUUUUAACUUUUGAACUAGGUACAUUGGUGCUUCCAUACGCAUACAUUUAUAUAGAAGUAAAUAUUUGUGGUAUUUGAUUCUAUUGUCAACUGUCAUCCACCCAAGUUCUUUAAAUAAGGGGGCUGAGGGGGAUAAUGGAUCUGCAUCUAGAAUUAAUCUUGCUGCCCUUUUUUGGAGUUUUAAAAUUCUUGUUACCCCUUCAUUUUUACAUUCACCCCAAAUAAUACAGCAGUAGUCAAUCAGGGGCAGAAUAUACCCAUUGUAAUAUGUUUUCCUUGCAUUUAUAUCUAAAAAUUUCUUUAUUUUAGAAAGAAGGUAUAUUCUGGAUGAUAUAUUAGCACAAACUUGGUCAAUUUGAUUUCUCCAGUUAAGUGUGCUGUCAAUUUUAACACCUAAUAAUUUUUCACAUGAAGAAUUUUGUAAUACUUUUGAAUCUAUUAUUAAGUUUGGUUGAUAAGUCUGAAUUGAUAGUUUCUGCUUUGUUCCAGUAACCAAACAUUUUGUUUUAUUUGCAUUAAUGAACAUGUUAUUCAUUUUGCACCACUCUUCAACCCUGUAUAAAUCUUCUUGAACAUCAUCAUGUAUAUUUUCUAUGUUUUUCCCUGAUUUAUGAAGAGUGGUGUCAUCAGCAUAUAGGUCUGUUUCACAAUUUUCAAUGCAUAAGGGAAGGUCGUUUAUAAAUAGCACAAACAAUAGAGGACCAAGUAUAGAACCUUGGGGGACACCAAAUUUUACAUGUUGUUGUUCAGAGUAAACAUUACAAAUGUUUACCUGCUGUUUUCUGUUAUUCAGGUAUGACUUGAAAAAACUAACAGUAGCCUCACUAAAUCCAUAAAUUUCAAGCUUUAAGCAAAGAAUGUCAUGAUCUACCAAAUCAAAAGCUUUUUUAAAAUCUAAUAAAAUUGCUAGGUUUAAAUUUCCAUCAUUCAUUUCUUGCAACCAUUUGUCAAUGAUAUUAAUAAGUGCAGUUUGACAAGAAUGCUGCGGCCUGAAACCAGAUUGUGUAGGAUGUAAAAGGUUAAGUUUAGAUAAGUAUUUGUACAUGUUAUUAGAAACAUGCCUUUCUAUUAAUUUUGAUAAAGUUGGAAGAACAGAUAUAGGUCUGUAAUUUGUUGCUAAAAGCUUGUCACCAUCCUUGAAAACUGGUGUUACCUUAGCAUUCUUCAGUAAAGAAGGAUAUAUACCAGUAUCUAUCAUUCGGUUAAAUAUGUAUGUGAGAGGUGAUGCAAUAACAGGGGCGCUUAAUCUUAGGAUUUUUGGUCCUAUAUUAUCCAUACCAGAUGCUUUGUUUAUAUCAAGUUUUGUUAACUCAUUAAAUAACUCAUUCAUGAUCACUGGUGGUAUAGAAAAUUUAUCAUGUUUAUGUAAUUUAUUUUUAACAAAUUUGCCAAGAUUACUGAAAUCUGCUUUGUUUACAGGUGUAUAACUUCCUUGUUCUCUUAAUUUUUCAGCACAGGAAGUGAAAAAGUUAUUAAAAGUUUCUGCUAUUGAUUUUUUACUUUUAGUUGUAUUGUUAUCUUCUGUGGCUAACUCAUAUGGUGUAUUUUUAACUUUUGGGUUCAGACUGUGAAGACAUUUCCAUAAAGUUUUAGGGUCAUUGGAGUCUUUUACCAUAUUUUUAUAAUAAUUCUUUUUUGAGCUAUCUAUGACAUGUUUAGUUUUAUUUCUCCAAAAUCUAUACUCACUCCAUAAACCAAGUGCAUUAUAUUUAUCUCUCAUAUUCCUAGCAUAAAUGAUUUCACUGUUAUACCAUUCAGGCUGUCCGUCCCUUUUAACUCUCUUUUUAACAACAGGAGCAUGUUUAUCUAAAGCUUUGUUCAACAUAUCAUAAAACAAUUGUAGACAGUCAGAGGGGUUUUCUUCAAAUUCAAUUUUAUGAAAAGGUGUAGUUUGCAGAUCUAAUAAAAAUUCAUUUUGGUUGAAAUUUUUGAAAUUUCUAUAAGUAAUUGUACUGUGUGUAUUCUUUUUUCCUAUAUUUGCUUCUUUCCUUGUUAAACAGAUAGGGUAAUGGUCACUAAUUGCAUAUCUACACACAUGUGAUUCAUGUACCAUAAUUGGAUUAUUGACAUAAAUAUGAUCAAUCAA